GCAGGGGCAGUUUUCAGCUCAAUUAUCUUUUGAUUAUCAGACUCCAUCAGUUUGGUUGCCGAGAAACCACUAGAAAAUGAACAAGAAAAUUGGGAAUCUCAUGAAAUAAUUGAUCUUUUCUGUAAAUCUAUGGGGUGAGGAUUCCCAAAACUCUUUCUUUCACUUUCUUUACGAUUUGCGAUUCUUUCUCUGCGGUUACUCGGCAACCAAACGAAGCGCUUAGAGACAGCAUCAAAAAGUUACCUCGUCUGCCAUAGCUUGUCGCGA
RNAcentral lists this unclassified non-coding RNA (267 nucleotides) under Hevea brasiliensis (rubber tree). Lineage: Eukaryota; Viridiplantae; Streptophyta; Magnoliopsida; Malpighiales; Euphorbiaceae. The record is from RNAcentral.